AUGCUUGAUUUGGCAGCACCUAUACUAAAAUUGGAAUGAUACAGAGAAGAUUAGCAUGGUCCCUGAUCAAGGAUGACACAUAAAUUUGUGAAGCAUUCCAUAAAAAA
Molecule: small nuclear RNA, 107 nt
Filed under: Microcebus murinus (gray mouse lemur)
Lineage: Eukaryota; Metazoa; Chordata; Mammalia; Primates; Cheirogaleidae
Source: RNAcentral